GACGAACGCUGGCGGCGUGCUUAACACAUGCAAGUCGAACGGGGCUGCUAUGAUGGAGUUUUCGGACAACUGAUUAGUAUGCCUAGUGGCGGACGGGUGAGUAACGCGUGAGUAACCUGCCUUUCAGAGGGGGAUAACAUUUGGAAACGACUGCUAAUACCGCAUAAGCCCUGAGGGGGAAAGAUUUAUCGCCGAAAGAACGGCCCGCGGAAGAUUAGGUAGUUGGUGGGGUAACGGCCUACCAAGCCGACGAUCUAUAGCUGGUCUGAGAGGACGAUCAGCCACAUUGGAACUGAGACACGGUCCAA
This 308-nucleotide ribosomal RNA is filed under the name uncultured bacterium. Its description in RNAcentral is "bacterial SSU rRNA". It matches the Rfam family "Bacterial small subunit ribosomal RNA", at positions 28 to 334 of the family's 1533-position model. The record is from RNAcentral.